GCAGGGCUGCGGGGUGCGUCAGAGCAUUGACCCGGGGGCCUAUAAGACUCGCACGGGAGCUGUCCCUGGCCGAGACCGUGGUCUCGGACACACGGCGCCCACCUACAUCUCGUAGGGACCACGCGGGAUCUACGCUCGAACGGCUCAGGCGGCUCUGCG
RNAcentral lists this non-coding RNA (159 nucleotides) under Alphaproteobacteria bacterium. RNAcentral's name for it is "6S RNA". It matches the Rfam family "6S / SsrS RNA". Rfam says of the family: E. coli 6S RNA was the first non coding RNA to be sequenced, but its function was unknown until recently. It consists of 184 nucleotides that fold into an extended hairpin structure with a large single-stranded internal bulge. Lineage: Bacteria; Pseudomonadati; Pseudomonadota; Alphaproteobacteria. The record is from RNAcentral.